CUCCAAGCUGGGCGGGUCGUCCUUGCCGGCUGGCACCUCGGGUAGCGAGCCCCGAGGGCAGAGGAGCCGGCUCCACCCGGCCUGGCCCCGAACCCUCCGCGGCGCCGGCCAAUCGCCGCUGCCAUCCUCCCGCUGGGGUGAUGUCUUCAGGUGUCCGGGAGGGGAGAAAGCCCUGCGUACUUCCAGCCCCGCUCCUGUGCCAGGAACCGGCGGCCCUCCGAGCCCUCCGGAGCCGGCCUCCGGGCCCCGAGCGCGGCGAGGCAAGCAGGGGCGGCGAAGGGUCCGGGUGGGCGGCGGCUACCCGCAGCCCAAAGGCGUGGGCCUGCGAGGCGGGCGGCGCGCGGCCAGGGAUGGGCAGCAGCGGGGUACCGAGGCGCCGAGGCCUGGACGCGGGCGCGGCGCGGAGGCCUCGGCGUCCCCAGCCGGGUGUGGGGCGGCCGACUGACUGACGCCGGGCGGGGGCCGCCGACUGCCUCAGCCACUGCGCGGGGCGGGGGCGGCAGCGGCCUCUAGCCUCCCUCGUUCCCUCCCUAGUCCGCUUGCCCGCUCGCCCGCUCGCUCGCUCGCUGGUCCAUCCGCCUCCUCACCUUCAGGACCCGGAUCCCUCCCGGCCGGCGGCUCGCGGGCGCUUCGGGCGGCUCCGGGGGCUCCAGCGGGCCCGCGGGCCCCGGCUCCACCUCCCCCAUCGGCGACCCAGGAUUCACAGAGACGCCCGGCCCGCGCGACGGCGUGCGGAGCCUCGGCGGCGCGCGCGAGCAACCGGUGGCCCCGCCCCCCGCGGCCCGCCGGCUCCGCCCCUCCGGCGGCUCGCCAGCUCCGCCCCUCCCGCAGCCCCGCUGGACCUAAGCAGCUGCCGGCGCCGAGUGGCCCGGGCGCCACCGAGCCGCAUUCCGGCCGCGGCCCGCGUGGCGGAACCUGGCACCACCGCAGAGCGCUGGGCCUCCACUGCCCGCCGCCCUAGGCUUGGAGGACUAGAGCGCAAGGAGGGGUAUUUGCUGCUUUCCCCGCCCUCUAAGAAACCCGCGGGAGAAAGAAGCAGGUGGCGCCGGCACCUGUCAAUUGUGACAAGACGCUGCCCUCCGCCAGGGUGGCUCUUGUAACUUCCCUCACCUGCCAAGCCGUUGAACGAACUGUUGAGAAUACUCACCUUGGCAAGGCCUUUUCUCUUCCUUAUCAGAGAUGCGUGCGACCUUCUUAAGCAAAUUCAACCCAACCUCGUACAAAACGUCCGCUCACCUCCCAGCC
This 1245-nucleotide long non-coding RNA is filed under the name Homo sapiens (human). Its description in RNAcentral is "HSALNT0386785". The record is from RNAcentral. Lineage: Eukaryota; Metazoa; Chordata; Mammalia; Primates; Hominidae.